Oncorhynchus tshawytscha (Chinook salmon) is the source of this 344-nucleotide long non-coding RNA. NCBI's taxonomy places the organism in Eukaryota, Metazoa, Chordata, Actinopteri, Salmoniformes, Salmonidae. The record is from Ensembl.
GGCCGUGAUCAGAGGCUGUAGUGUAGCCAACCGCAGACAGACACGCAGACACGCAGGCAGACAGACAGAAAGACACGCAGACAGAAAGACACGCAGACAGAAAGACACGCAGACAGACAGACAGACACGCAGACAGACAGACAGACACGCAGACAGACAGACAGACAGACACGCAGACAGACAGACAGACAGACACGCAGACAGACACGCAGACAGACACGCAGACAGACAGACAGACAAAGACAGACAGACAGACAGACACGAGUCAGCAGGCCCCCAUGCUGCUGGAUUAACAGCGUUUCACAGCUGAAUCAAACACCUAUGGGAUUGAAUGACCAAAAGUG